CUCAGAAUCUGGAACAACUUCAGCUGAGUUUGAUUUUCUCCAACCAUAUUCUUCCCAAUAAACCUGGAAAAAUUUAUUUUGGGAACAGUUUGACCUGUAGAGGAUGCAAGCAUCACAGCCUGGUAUAAUGGAGAUUGUUGUCUCAUCAGGAAUUGUGAACAUUCCCGGCAAAAUGAAAGCUACUCAUGUAUGUCAAGUACCUGAAAGAUAAAACCCUUGGUGACUGGCCUCUCAUUGCUACUGAAGAAAUGGGGGAAAGCAUAGCCAAGAGCUGAACAAUAGCUUAAACCUUUGCUGUGAACAACUAGAGAGAUUGAAAAGAGGGAAGCCAAUUUGCCCCUCUUCACCCAGCCAUGACAUCAUGUGGAAAUAAAGAGUAAAAUGACAAAAUGGGAGAGGCUUGCUUGAAAGUAAUUUAGCAUCACAGAAGAAUUCUACUUAGGUUGCUAUCAGAAUGUAGUGUAUCCUCCAACUCAAUUUUAUGAAUAGGAAAUGCUUUUAUUUGAUUUAAUGUAUAAGCCAGUAUUUACAAAGCAAUGGGGAAAGAGCAUUUUAAUGGGAUUAAUGGUAUUGUUCUUAAAAGUAAGCCCCAUCACUUCGCCUGAUGCUAUCAUCAUAUGCUGUAUGACUUCAUGAUUCUAUGAGACCAAUGUCUUGUAGUUUUCCUUGUAAACUAAAGAGAUCAAAUAAUUGGGCUGAGACUAUAUCAGAGCAUUGGUGCCAUUUGUAGAACUACAGAAUCAUCCCCAAUUAUUCAGUAUCAUGAAAUCACUCCAUGCUGCAUUUAUCACUGUCUAAAAUAUUGCAAUAUUGCAUUAGUCUUAGUGCUUGUGCUGGUACUGCAUCGUUCUAUUUGUUGAAGCUAAAAUACCCCAGUAGUGCACAGUUUUCAUGCUUGAACUUUACAACAUGUACUAUAUGACUUGUGUGCUUUAAUUAUUGUAUGUGUCUAUCCUGCAGCAUCUUAAUGCUUGUAUUAUAGACUAGCUGUAUUGUAUGAUUUAGGUGCUUAUAUUAUAUUAUAUUAUAUUAUAUCCAGAC
Chiloscyllium plagiosum (whitespotted bambooshark) is the source of this 1041-nucleotide non-coding RNA. The record is from RefSeq and is a predicted model, not a curated record. Lineage: Eukaryota; Metazoa; Chordata; Chondrichthyes; Orectolobiformes; Hemiscylliidae.